RNAcentral lists this ribosomal RNA (206 nucleotides) under uncultured bacterium. RNAcentral's name for it is "partial 16S ribosomal RNA". It matches the Rfam family "Bacterial small subunit ribosomal RNA", at positions 1297 to 1500 of the family's 1533-position model. The record is from RNAcentral.
ACUGCAGGCUGCAACUCGCCUGCACGAAGUCGGAAUUGCUAGUAAUCGCGGAUCAGCAUGCCGCGGUGAAUACGUUCCCGGGCCUUGUACACACCGCCCGUCACACCAUGAGAGUCGGGAACACCCGAAGUCCGUAGUCUAACCCGCAAGGGAGGGCGCGGCCGAAGGUGGGUCCGGUAAUUGGGGUGAAGUCGUAACAAGGUACC